GUUGCUGGGUGUCCCAGGGCCUGAGGCAGGACGGUACUCCGCUGACACCUUCCCUUUCGGCCUUGAGGUUCCCAGCCUGGUGGCCCCAGGACGUUCCGGUCGCAUGGCAGAGUGCUACGGACGACGCCUAUGAAGCCCUUAGUCCUUCUAGUUGCGCUUUUGCUAUGGCCUUCGUCUGUGCCGGCUUAUCCGAGGUCUCAAUCCAUUGCGCCCAGGCUGGUAUGCAGUCAUGUUGUAUCUGGAAUUGGUGGGUUCUUGGUCUCACUGACUUCAAGAAUGAAGCCGCAGACCCUCGUGCACCAUGAGUGCCGAGGAGGAUGCCAGGUGGCUCCGGUGGGUGACUCAGCAGUUUAAGACCAUUGCAGGAGAAGAUGGGGAGAUCAGCCUGCAAGAAUUCAAAGCAGCUCUGCAUGUGAAAGAGUCCUUCUUUGCAGAGCGAUUCUUUGCCCUAUUUGACUCCGAUAGAAGUGGCACCAUCACCCUCCAGGAGCUGCAGGAGGCACUGACCCUGCUCAUCCAUGGCAGCCCCAUGGACAAACUCAAAUUCCUCUUCCAGGUGUAUGACAUCGAUGUGUGUGCACGGCAGGGGGCGUCUGCAGGUACAGAGUGGGGUGCUGGGGCAGGCCCGCACUGGGCUUCAUCCCCACUCGGGACAGGCAGUGGCUCCAUUGACCCGGAUGAGCUGCGCACUGUGCUGCAGUCGUGUCUGCGCGAGAGCGCCAUCUCGCUGCCUGACGAGAAGCUGGACCAGCUGACGCUGGCGCUCUUCGAAUCGGCCGACGCGGACGGCAACGGGGCCAUCACCUUCGAGGAGCUCCGGGACGAGCUGCAGCGCUUCCCCGGAGUCAUGGAGAACCUGACCAUCAGCGCUGCCCACUGGCUGACGGCCCCCGCCCCCCGCCCACGCCCGCGCCGGCCGCGCCAGCUGACCCGCGCCUACUGGCACAACCACCGCAGCCAGCUGUUCUGCCUGGCCACCUAUGCAGGCCUCCACGUGCUGCUCUUCGGGCUGGCGGCCAGCGCGCACCGGGACCUCGGCGCCAGCGUCAUGGUGGCCAAGGGCUGCGGCCAGUGCCUCAACUUCGACUGCAGCUUCAUCGCGGUGCUGAUGCUCAGACGCUGCCUCACCUGGCUGCGGGCCACGUGGCUGGCUCAAGUCCUACCACUGGACCAGAACAUCCAGUUCCACCAGCUUAUGGGCUACGUGGUAGUGGGGCUGUCCCUCGUGCACACCGUGGCUCACACUGUGAACUUUGUACUCCAGGCUCAGGCGGAGGCCAGCCCUUUCCAGUUCUGGGAGCUGCUGCUCACCACGAGGCCUGGCAUUGGCUGGGUACACGGUUCGGCCUCCCCGACAGGUGUCGCUCUGCUGCUGCUGCUCCUCCUCAUGUUCAUCUGCUCCAGUUCCUGCAUCCGCAGGAGUGGCCACUUUGAGGUGUUCUAUUGGACUCACCUGUCCUACCUCCUCGUGUGGCUUCUGCUCAUCUUUCAUGGGCCCAACUUCUGGAAGUGGCUGCUGGUGCCUGGAAUCUUGUUUUUCCUGGAGAAGGCCAUCGGACUGGCAGUGUCCCGCAUGGCAGCCGUGUGCAUCAUGGAAGUCAACCUCCUCCCCUCCAAGGUCACUCAUCUCCUCAUCAAGCGGCCCCCUUUUUUUCACUAUAGACCUGGUGACUACUUGUAUCUGAACAUCCCCACCAUUGCUCGCUAUGAGUGGCACCCCUUCACCAUCAGCAGUGCUCCUGAGCAGAAAGACACUAUCUGGCUGCACAUUCGGUCCCAAGGCCAGUGGACAAACAGGCUGUAUGAGUCCUUCAAGGCAUCAGACCCACUGGGCCGUGGUUCUAAGAGGCUGUCGAGGAGUGUGACAAUGAGAAAGAGUCAAAGGUCGUCCAAGGGCUCUGAGAUACUUUUGGAGAAACACAAAUUCUGUAACAUCAAGUGCUACAUCGAUGGGCCUUAUGGGACCCCCACCCGCAGGAUCUUUGCCUCUGAGCAUGCCGUGCUCAUCGGGGCAGGCAUCGGCAUCACCCCCUUUGCUUCCAUUCUGCAGAGUAUCAUGUACAGGCACCAGAAAAGAAAGCAUACUUGCCCCAGCUGCCAGCACUCCUGGAUCGAAGGUGUCCAAGACAACAUGAAGCUCCAUAAGGUGGACUUUAUCUGGAUCAACAGAGACCAGCGGUCUUUCGAGUGGUUUGUGAGCCUGCUGACUAAACUGGAGAUGGACCAGGCCGAGGAGGCUCAAUACGGCCGCUUCCUGGAGCUGCAUAUGUACAUGACAUCUGCACUGGGCAAGAAUGACAUGAAGGCCAUUGGCCUGCAGAUGGCCCUUGACCUCCUGGCCAACAAGGAGAAGAAAGACUCCAUCACGGGGCUGCAGACGCGCACCCAGCCUGGGCGGCCUGACUGGAGCAAGGUGUUCCAGAAAGUGGCUGCUGAGAAGAAGGGCAAGGUGCAGGUCUUCUUCUGUGGCUCCCCAGCUCUGGCCAAGGUGCUGAAGGGCCAUUGUGAGAAGUUCGGCUUCAGAUUUUUCCAAGAGAAUUUCUAGCCUCACCUCUCCAAGCUCUGCCCCAAGUCCACACCAUGGGUCUGCUUCAUUGCAUUAGUAUAAAUGCCCCCACAGGGACCAGCCUCAGAUGACCCACCCAAUAAGACAAAGCCUAGGGACCCCCUAAUCCUGCUCAACAGAGAGAACAGGAGACCCCAAGGGGCAGAUGAACUUCCUCUAGAACCCAGGGGAAGGGACAGUGCCUUGUUCAGUCUGCUGUAGAUUCUGGGGUUUCUGUGAAAGUGAGGGAACCAGAGGCUGGUCACGGGAGCUUGGGGGUGGGGUUCGAGGGGGCAGAGGGCAACCACUCCUCCAAACAUUUUCCGACGGAGCCUUCCCCCACAUCCAUGGUCCCAAACCUGCCCAAUCAUCACAGUCAUUUGGAAGCUUAUUUCUCCGGCAUCUUAUAAAAUUGUUCAAACCUACAAAAAGUGAGAAGAAUCAUACAGUGAACAGUGUUACCUACUUUCUAGACUCCUCAGUUAAUAAUUUGCUCUGUUUAUCACAUAUUAUCCAUCAGUUCCUCCUCCCUCUUUCCAUCUGUCAAUUUAUCUGAUUUUUUGGAUGCAUUUUCAAGUUAGGUGCAAAUAUCUCAGCACACCUUGCUACUUGGAGGAGCCUUCUUCAAAUGCACAUUCCUUGGUCCCACUACCAGAAAUUCUGAUUCUGAUGAUCUGGGAAUGAAACCUGAAAUAUGUAUUUUCCACCAAAUCCAUUUGCAUAGGGAGAAAUAAGCAGCAUCUUUCCCUGCCCCUCCUUGUGUCUUUGUCUCCCCAUCUCCCUCUCUCCUGGCGCGUCCCUCAGAGCCUCUCUGGGCUCUGUAUGCUGGCCUCUUCCUUCUCUCUGUGUGCUGAGUCGCUUGAGAAACAGGAUGGAGACAGCCUCUUUGUGUGCCUCUCUCUGUCGUGGAAAGGCCAAGUGCCUGGGGAUGAAGCGGGCUAAGCCUGGAAGCUCAGCUCAGCCACACUCUGGCUGUGUGGCCCUGGAAGCUUCCCCAUGUCUGUUAUUUUCAUCUGUGAAAUAAGCUGAUGCCAUCCGUCAGUCACAGUUGCUGUGAGGUGACAUGAGACGCCAAGUGCUCAAGACAUUCCACCUCAGUUCAGCUCCUUGCUGCUCCAGGCUUUCGUGCAUCUACAUCAUUUCUCUUUAUCCUGGCUCCCUCUGUCUCUGUUUUCCAGCCUCUGUUUGCGUCUGUCCCUGUCUGGGCAGGAGGGAACAGCAGAGGCAGCAAAGGCUCUCUCAGCACAUACUGUGGGGAGGAGCGGCCCUGGGCAGAGGACAGGGUGGGCCUCACCUCCUCCAUCUGAGCUGGACAUUUCCAUCUGUGCCACACCAUGAGCUCCUGUGAGCCCCACAUUUCCUGGGCAUCCUCCACCUUGCAGUCAGUCCUGAUAGGUUCUCUUCUUGACAGUGUAAAGCACCCUUCCCCAAGGCUGCCAUCAUGGGGUUGGAACCAGGCACUUUCCAAUGGGAUUGUAGCUGGCACCUUUCUUUUCCAUGGGUUGGAAGUCCAUGGUUGCAAAGGGGGAGGUAAAGAAGCCGGAUCAUAACCUGGAUGAUGAUGUCCCUUAUCUAAGGUGGGGCUGGGAUGCAGCAGUAGGGGUGGGUGUGACCUGCAGGGGAUGAGCCAGUUGGGUGGAUGGAAGAAUGAAGGUGGGGGAAAGCUCUCUUCUGAAAGGGGCAAUAGGAAGGGGAUGGUGGAGGAAGACGCUGAGGCAGGCCCUGGGAAGGGGAAGGCAAAACAUACCCUGAGGACUGGGACAGAGCAGGAUGGGAGUGAGGAUGUCAUCUUUAAGAUGUGAGGAGGAACGGGAAGAAGAAUACGAGAGGAGGAGUGGGGCCUGCAGUCAAGGAGAGGCUAAUUCGGUUUGGGUGGGUGGAAAGCGGGGCUCGUGCUUGCACCAAGCCUCCAUCUCCCUGGACUGGGAGUCAGCAAGGCCAGGAGACCUGGUGUUGGGGCCUUCCAACCAGAUCGUGUUUAAUUUCCAGCAAGCCUGGGGAGGCACACAACUCACCAGGGAAACUCACACCUGGAGUUUUACCAGCCUGAGGCCACACACUCUUGGAACCUCUUUCCCUCUGUUGAGUCUGUACUUUCCCCUCUUCAUCAGGCUUGGGAAGGCUUGGACAAAACGCUCUCUGGGGCACAGAAGGAAACUAAAGAGGGUGUUCUGACUUAAGGUUGGAGGAUGUAAACAGGCUGUGCCAAAUCAUUUGGAAACGUGGCAGAAUCUGUUUAGCACAGGAUGUCUCACACAUGCACUCAAUGCACACACACACAUGCAUGUCACCGUUUUGGAUUCUUUCCCAUCUCUGUCUACACCGCCUUAACACAUUUGAGCCCUGCCCUCAGUCCUUUGCCCUCUCGUAACAGAUUUCCACCAGGCUCCCACCCGCAUAUACAAAUAGUCAGCUGUUCGUUUAGGACUUAAUAAUAUAGUGGGUGGGAGCAGGUGGAAGGACUUGGACAUACGAUUCUAAAAUCCGUGAAUGCCCACAUGUGUGACGACCAUAUGCCCGUGUCCUGAGGUUUUCUCUCCAGACAGAUUCCAGUUGCCCACGAGAGGGCGCUGCAGAAUCACGGAUCUCAAGCGGGUUUGUUUCCCAGGAAGUGAGACUGGUCCGUGAGUGGCAGUUAAUCAAAGGGAAAGGGGCUGGGAAGACAACGCCCUGUUCCAAAGCUCCCCACUAGAGGCAAAACCUCCAGGCUCCAUCUCUGUGAAGUCAAGAGACUUCAUGUUCAAGGUCAGUUUCUCUAGCUGGCAGCUUCUCACUGCCGCUGCCUUCCCCCAGAAACUCUACCCUCCCCAUACCCAGUGUCCAGUUCUGGGCUUUCCUCUUUUCUGCUUGCAACAAAAUGUCCAUCGGUGAGGUCAAGUUGAACUGAACAGGCCUGGCUUGGGGAGAGUUCACAGGUCCAGGUUCUGUCUGCCUCGGUGGACAUGUCAUCGAAGGCAGCAGGACCACACAUGUGAGUGUACAGCACGCAUGGUCUGACCAUCUGGAUGUUUCCCAGAUGUGCAGAUGGGCAUCAUCGGCCAUCAACAGGAAAAUGCAUCCGGAUGACUGGCUGACUUUUCUUCUCUCACCAGAUGUUGCCAAUGCUGUAGAAACAUCUGGGCCCACGACAGAUAAGGCUGACACAUGCAAAGAGAAGAGAGAAGGAGCAAGGCCAGUUAUCGGCACGUGUGCCCAUCCUCCCCCAUGAAGCUGCAAACUCCCCAAGGCCAGACAUGGGGACCCAAAGCCUAGCACAGAGUGUAGACCAGAUGUCGGUUCCUCCCAGGGCAAGGGGUUACUUAAAUGGAAUUAUCCUUACAAAGAGUCUUUUGCACCUAAUUGUCACUUGUAAUUUGGGGAACAAAAGCACAAACACAAGCCCACUGAACCACUUUGCCAGGUGCCAUUGCACUGUUCUGUGAGGACAGCGCUGACGGAGACAGCAGGCAUUCCUGAAAUGACCAAUCAGGCAGGGCCCUCCUGGACGAGCGGCACAAGUGCAGGCUAUUAAUACACUGAGCUGGGGCAUUCGUGGGAGGGGAGGGGGCAUGGGCAACAUGGAGAGUCACCAGGCUGGCAGACAAGGUUGAAGGUAGGGAGGGAUGAGGAACAUUAGCCGAGACUGGCUCUGGGCCAACCUGUUGGAGACACAGUGGACAAACCUUUGCCCUCUGGGAGGCAGGGCACUGAGUCCUACACUUGCCUCUGCCACAGUCUGCUGUGUGACCUUGGGUGUAUCAUUUGACCUCUCUGAGUUCUCACUUUCUUAUUAUAAAGUGAACAGAUCAAGUAUGUAUGCGUUUAAGCACUUGUCAUUUCUAAAAGGAUACAUGAAAGUAUAUUUAUCUGUGUGCUCUGGGGAGUGGGAAUGGAGGGAUACAAUGAAGGAAAGGAUUUUGUGUUUUUGUUUUUGUUUUACUUUUUGCCCUUCUGUAAAGUUUAAGUUUUUAUUAAUAUUAUAGUUUUAUUUUAAAAAGAAACCCCAAAUAGGAUGUCAUGUAAAAGAAAAGAAAAAACAAGUACCAAGUGUUUGAUAUAAUCCUAUUUAUAACACAGAAAAUAAAUGACAUAUGUAUAUCAUGUGGGGAUAAAUAGAUAAAAAUACACGGAAAGACAGUUAGAAGCCAGCCUUAAUCUGUCUUGGGCCCAGACAGCCCUUAUCUGUUGGGGGCCCAGAUGUGUCUACAGCAUUGUUAACAUCUGGUGAAAGGAGAAAAGUCAGCCAGCCAUCCUGAUGCGUUUUCUUGCUGAUGGCCGAUGAUGCCCAAAUGCUAAGCAGUUCGCAGUGGUUAACUGUGGAGGAGGCAAAGGAGGACUUGAAUGUUUUCCUCUUAUCUGUUUCCUGUAUUUGUGUGUUACCUGAGUAAGGUUUCACUUCCUGUAUUACUCAUGUGAUAUUUUACUUUUUAAUUUAUGUACUUUUGUAUGGCUUGUAUCUAUUUUUUAAGAGUAAAACAAAAUGCAGAGAUUAUCUGCAGUGUUGUCUAAGAUCCUGAAUAUUGAUUUGGUAUCAAGUGAAAGUAUUUCGGGCCUAAGCCAGGGGACUGGCCCUCCCCGUCAGGGGUCACUCCGUGGGCUCUUCAAUAAGGGAGGCUCCUAUAGUGCCCAUUAUCAAUAUGCUGCUGGCCCUGAAUGGCCUAAGUAUUAAAAUAAAAUGCCCUGUCUAGGCCCAAAACUAGUCCAGAAGGACUGUGGAGGCCGUGGGCAUACACGUGAAAUUGUGUGCACAGGGGCUAAGCCCAGCACCAGCCCAGCCUGGGAGUUGAGAUGCCUCAGGGCACACUGUCUGUGCUAAACAAAUACUCAUAUUAACCAGCCUUCCUGACAGAUUGAUGCAUCUUUUUAUGAUCUGUCUUUACAAUAUGAUGACUCUCUCCUUUUAAAAAUAAGAUUAAUUCAGACAAGACAUUUAUUUUAUGAGGAAAUUCAUCCCAGGGGGAAAAAUACUCAACCUGAAUGGCAGAAAUGGCUGGAAAGAGACUUGACUCUCAAGGAAGCUUCCAGCCUCCAACCUUAGCCACCCAGCCAUGGCCCCAAAAGGGCUGCCCUAAUACUACUCAGGGACAAAUGGGCCCUCUUAAACUACCCUAGCUGUGUGAGUGUAGCCUGCUGGAGAAACAAAGAAAGACAGGUAGUGAGUUUUAGUGUGGCAGGGAAGAAAAGGAUGCAUUUUUUGGUAAAGGAAAAAAAAAUUCUGAGAUUUACCCAAAUUUGGCUGGACAUGAGUUUAUAAAUACAGAUUAAGCUUGUCUUUAAAUAACCCUAAAGAAUGUUCAAGAACAGUGAAUGAUUUGUCUCUGUGUCCCCAGUGACUAGAAUAGCGUCACCACCUAGUAGGUGCUUGGCGUGUUUCAUGAAUGUUUCCACUGCUAUGGUCUGUUUCAGCUGGUGACCCCAUGAGGUACCCUUGGCUCCUCUAUCUCCCCCAUCUUCCUCCUUCAGCCAAUCAUCAAGCCUGUCAACAUGGCAUUCUAAAUGCUUCUCAAGCACAUUUCCUUCCCCACUGGCCCUGCCUUGGUUCAGUCCUUAAAUUGCCUAUUGCCUGAAUUGGUGCAUCAGAGACAGGCUGGAGAAAGGAAGACCAGUUAGCCAGAAAGGAAGCUUGGAAGACCACCCAGCUAACUGGUCUUCCUUUCUCCAGCCUGGCUCUGAUCCAUCCUCCACACACUGCUGUGGGUCUGACUGCACACCUUCUUUUUGGAGGACUCUCCUAUUAUAGCCAUCAAACUCCUGAGUCUGCUACACAAGGCCCCCCCAACAUAAGCCCUAGAUGAAGAUCUGCUACCAUUACAGCCAGUAUUACCUGGCCCUUGCCUACCUCUCAGGUCUUGGCAAUGUCCACCUUGCUUUUUUUACUUUAAAUAGCAUCAUUUCGUGCUCCCCCAGGACACUGUGCAGCUUCGCACCUCCAAGCCUUUGCUUCUGCAUCGCCUGACACUUGGAGCACCCUUCUCCACUUUCAGAUUGAGACUUCGGAACACUUUAUCAUCAGCCUAUCUGUAAAGACUUCCUUGCUGGUCCCUCCCAUCGCAGAAUAAACAGCCUGCUCCGUAGGAUUGUACUGUA
This is an RNA transcript of Homo sapiens (human), 8611 nucleotides long. It is a transcript of the gene named SPESP1-NOX5 readthrough, with no coding region annotated. The transcript has 17 exons. The record is from RefSeq and is marked reviewed. Lineage: Eukaryota; Metazoa; Chordata; Mammalia; Primates; Hominidae.